GAUCCUGGCUCAGGAUGAACGCUAGCGGCAGGCUUAACACAUGCAAGUCGAGGGGGCAGCACGAGGUAGCAAUACUUUGGUGGCGACCGGCGCACGGGUGCGUAACGCGUAUGCAACCUACCUUUAACAGGGGUAUAACACUGAGAAAUUGGUACUAAUUCCCCAUAACAUUCGAGAAGGCAUCUUCUUGGGUUAAAAACUCCGGUGGUUAAAGAUGGGCAUGCGUUGUAUUAGCUAGUUGGUGAGGUAACGGCU
Molecule: ribosomal RNA, 255 nt
Filed under: uncultured bacterium
Lineage: Bacteria
Description: partial 16S ribosomal RNA
Rfam family: Bacterial small subunit ribosomal RNA
Source: RNAcentral